Molecule: long non-coding RNA, 1787 nt
Filed under: Canis lupus familiaris (dog)
Lineage: Eukaryota; Metazoa; Chordata; Mammalia; Carnivora; Canidae
Description: lncRNA (ENSCAFG00000056593.1, ENSCAFG00805024173.1)
Source: RNAcentral
UUUUUUUUUUUUUUUAAGCAUAUUCAUAUUGAGGGGAAUGGCUUCAAAAGAAGCUUCUUGCUUUGAAUUUGGCAGUGGUACAAGUUACUUUAAAAACACUGCAUUUUACUGUCAAAAAGUCACUGUGUUAUUUUGAGGUUGGGAUGGAUUAGAAAUUAUACUAUAUUUUAUUGCUUGCUUAGGUGCCGAACCUCAUUCCACUGCCAUGGUAUAAUGUCAAAUAUGCUGGACUGAAAAACAGUAUGUUGUCCACUUUCUUCUCGUGUAUGUUUAUCAUAUGAACUCAGAAAGAAUAGAAACCUCAUAAACAAAAUUCUAGAAAAGAAAUCUGCUCAGAGAGCUCCCAAAGAAUUAGAUUUCCCUGUCUAUUCUGCACAGGGGAGCACAUUUUCCUUAACCAGUAACCUGUAGAGCCUCUAGAAGAAAGCGAUCUACAGAACAAAAGAGACAUUGGAUUGUCCUCUCAAAGGGGAAGAGAAAUUUUCUUGUAGCUUGAUUCAUACAGAAAAAAGAAGUGAUGAUAAAAACAGUGUGAUUCAUCAACUCAUUCAGUGAAGAAAGAGGAAGGCAGUCCAAGAAUGAAUUUCUCCUUUUCUUAGCACCCAAGAAAACGUAGGUCUAAGAUACUACUGGGGCCCUUUGAUUCGAAUCCCGUGGCGGAGUGGAAAGACCAGAGACUUUGGAAUCAGAUUCACUUCAGGCUCAGGCUUUUCCUUAGUUAGCAUUCGCCAAGGGGUGCUAGUCUUGGUUGGGGUUUCCCCAGAAGCAGACUCCAAGACAAGAGUUCAAAAGCAAGUACUAGCGUAUCUAGAAAGUGCAGAAAAUCGAGGGGGAAGUGGGCGGGGAGGCAGGAGAGGCACAGUCCACACAGAAGCCCUUGCAAGCCAGCGCAGCCAGCGCAGCCAGCCCAGCCCCGGCCACCGGGCAGCUCCCACCACGCGGCGCAGAGGCAGCGAGAGGAGAGGCCACGCCAGAGCCCGACGGUUCUCAGCUUAAGUCGGGCACGUGGGGAGGGUUGCUCCGAGCGUCCUUAAACAGGCAGCAAAGGGGAGGCAAAAUAGAGUCCUUAACCCAACAGACGAGGAUGCUGACAGUUGAGGAUGCUGACAGUUGAGGAUGCUGACAGUUGGAGGUCAAGCCAACAUGCCCUGACGUGAAAGGUGAGGGAAUGGGACGUGGCGGUGCUGGUCGCUGCAGGUGGUAGAAGCAGCAGCAGAGAACACAGGCCCUUUGGGCGCAGAGACCUUGUUUGCUGUCGUUUCCUCCAUGCUGUCAUAUUUUAGGCAUUUGAUAAAUAAUGUGUGGACCGAACAUGCCAGUGAACACAUGAAACAGCUUUAAAUCCAGGCUCUAUCAUUUAGGAAAAAUCUUUUUUCAAUCUCUUUUUUCAUUUCAUCAAAUUUCAUUCUACAAAACCAUAAAUAAAAGAACUUAACAUAGUAUCUAUCCAACCCACAGUAGAACUGAGUGAAUAUAAAUAUUGUUACUAUGUGUCCAUUUCCUGCUUUCUACCUGCAGUCCUCCCCUCUUUAUUUUGCCUUCCCUUAUCAAGAGGAAAGCUGACUGCAGUACCCUACAGUGCCUGGGUCCAGAAAUGGGCACUACACCCUGGCACACUGUAAGGGCCCACACCACAGUUUCUUCUUCUUUUUUUUUUUAAAGAUUUUAUUUAUUAUUCAUGAGAGAUACAAAGAGAGAGAGAGGCAGAAAGAGGCAGGCAGGCAGAGGGAGAAGCAGGCUCCCUGCGGGGAGCCUGAUGCGGGACUAGAUCCAGGACCCUGAAUCAC